RNAcentral lists this ribosomal RNA (506 nucleotides) under uncultured bacterium. Its description in RNAcentral is "partial 16S ribosomal RNA". It matches the Rfam family "Bacterial small subunit ribosomal RNA", at positions 29 to 523 of the family's 1533-position model. The record is from RNAcentral.
AGUGAACGCUGGCGGUAGGCCUAACACAUGCAAGUCGAACGGCAGCACAGGAGAGCUUGCUCUCUGGGUGGCGAGUGGCGGACGGGUGAGGAAUACAUCGGAAUCUACUCUGUCGUGGGGGAUAACGUAGGGAAACUUACGCUAAUACCGCAUACGACCUACGGGUGAAAGCAGGGGACCUUCGGGCCUUGCGCGAUUGAAUGAGCCGAUGUCGGAUUAGCUAGUUGGCGGGGUAAAGGCCCACCAAGGCGACGAUCCGUAGCUGGUCUGAGGGGAUGAUCAGCCACACUGGAACUGAGACACGGUCCAGACUCCUACGGGAGGCAGCAGUGGGGAAUAUUGGACAAUGGGCGCAAGCCUGAUCCAGCCAUACCGCGUGGGUGAAGAAGGCCUUCGGGUUGUAAAGCCCUUUUGUUGGGAAAGAAAUCCAGCUGGCCAAUACCCGGUUGGGAUGACGGUACCCAACGAAUAAGCACCGGCUAACUUCGUGCCAGCCGCCGCAGUAA